Molecule: long non-coding RNA, 242 nt
Organism: Labrus mixtus (cuckoo wrasse)
Lineage: Eukaryota; Metazoa; Chordata; Actinopteri; Labriformes; Labridae
Exons: 2
Source: RefSeq, a predicted model, not a curated record
UCGCUGGAGUCCACACGAGUUAAGGUGCUUUAACGACAGAGACCACCAUGAAGACCUCGACUCCCCUCUCCUCUCGCUGUGCAAUCAAAGAGUUCUUCUAAAGUGGAUCCAUGUGUGUGUGUGUGUGUGUUAUCUGAGAAAGUGCUGAAGAAUCCAUUUCUAUCAUUCAUGAACUGAUUCUAGUUUCAUUAUUUUAUAUCAUUUACAUUUCUUAGAUCACUUGGAAGUUUUCGUCAGGGGAA